CAGCCGCCGCGGUAAUACGAAGGGGGCUAGCGUUGCUCGGGAUGACUGGGCGUAAAGGGAGCGUAGGCGGUUUGCACAGUCAGAUGUGAAAUUCCUGGGCUUAACCUGGGAACUGCAUUUGUUACUGUAGAGCUGGAGUGUGGCAGAGGGGGAUGGAAUUCCGCGUGUAGCAGUGAAAUGCGUAGAGAUGCGGAGGAACACCGAUGGCGAAGGCAAUCCCCUGGGCCUGCACUGACGCUCAUGCACGAAAGCGUGGGGAGCAAACAGGAUUAGAUACCCCCGUAGUCCCUGUCUCUUAUAC
This 301-nucleotide ribosomal RNA is filed under the name uncultured bacterium. RNAcentral describes it as "partial 16S ribosomal RNA". It matches the Rfam family "Bacterial small subunit ribosomal RNA", at positions 509 to 807 of the family's 1533-position model. The record is from RNAcentral.